Molecule: unclassified non-coding RNA, 300 nt
Filed under: Phylloporus sp.
Lineage: Eukaryota; Fungi; Basidiomycota; Agaricomycetes; Boletales; Boletaceae
Description: partial contains small subunit ribosomal RNA and internal transcribed spacer 1
Rfam family: Eukaryotic small subunit ribosomal RNA (bases 1-46)
Source: RNAcentral
AAGUCGUAACAAGGUUUCCGUAGGUGAACCUGCGGAAGGAUCAUUAACAAAUGUGGGAUGUGUGUGUGAGUAGGGGUCCUGAUGGUCUUGGCUGAUGGUUUUUGAGAUGUCGUGUCAUUGAUGUUUUUGAGAUGAUGCCUUGUCAUUGACUGAUGCCUUGAUUGUUGCCCUGAAAACACCAAAAACCUUUUAGCUCCGUCGAUACGGUCGAUGAUCGUGUCGAGGUUGCACACACUUGCGCUUUUCAAGUUUGACAAAAUCUAGACAAUACAUUUAUGGACAACUUUUAACAACGGAUCU